CGAUGCUGGCGCUGGCCAUACUUAUUAUUAUGAUGUUACACUUUUAGGUAAUACUUUUUCCUUCGCCAAGCGUUUGCCAUAGGGUCUGUAAGUCUCGUCAUGUGAUUGCCGAGAUUUAGCGAGAUUAUUAACUUCCGGGUACAUCAACAUCUCAGAUUGCACUGUGUAGAGAGUGGUAUACAUAGAUAUAGCGUUAUCAAUCGAUUGUGUGGAGGUUCUAACGAGAUAAACAUGGGAAUUGAACCAUUAGUGGAGUCGUCGAGGAUUCUUUGCUUCGUGUUUGACGAAUUACGUGUAAUAACCGCCAGUGUACAAGCAUCGACGAGGGUACGUCUUGCAGAUAAAGAGCAGAUAUGUCUUGAAUCUGAGGAUAAAGGUGUUGUGCAUUAUGCAGUCAUCAUUAAUGUGGAUGUAUGAUGUCAGUGUGCCCAUACUGGGGCAGUAUAAGUGUCGAUCUUCAUAUGGCAGCAAAUUUUCAAAGGCAGGUACACAAUUUAAAGAUAAAAAUACUGUCAAUACAUGUUUGGAUCUAUAUCUAUUAUGAUUAUAAUAAUUAUAAGUUUAUAUGUUGUAAACUUUCUUUCUUUUUAGAAAUUUCUUUCUUUAUAAACUGUCUUGCUGUUAUGCCCUCUGGGCCCAAAUUGGAAUAAACUUAUCUUAUCUGUACCCAAAGUAAGUAAUAAAUGAGUUCGAACUGCGAAGAUAAAAUUUUUACAUGUAGAUAUAUUGGAAAUUUUCAGAUAUAAGAAGGCAAAUAAAACUACUCAAUGUAAAAUACGCCAGUAGUUGGAUAAAACAUCCAAAGUCGGCACAGUCAAAGGUCACAGCAACAAUGGAGGAAUUAAAUGCAUCCUCAUUCCGCAGGGCAACGGGCCAUUUUCAGCAACCCCUGAAAUUCUUAAUUGAGGCUAAGUGCCCAUUUUCAGCUCGAACAAUGACAAUUAAAGAGGCCUGUGCAAAUGUUGGGAUUUCCCUCUUGUUAAAAUGUGAUGCAAGGGAUGGUUCGCUGCACCUCAAAACAAAAUAUGAAUAUUGGCAUCAGAUUCAAUGACAACAACACCUGAAAGACACCCAAUGCUGUGAUUUGCUAGUGUGGAUUCCUAGUGACACUCAAAUAAUUCACAUUGACAAAGAUGCAUUAUGGUCAACUUUUUAAGCGUGAUAGAGUUUAAUUAUAAUAAUGAAGUAUUUUUGCAGUCUAAAACACACACACAUAACCACAUUUACAUAUACUUUAUUAUGAUAUCAGUGGUGCAUCUAUCAAAGUCAUCUAAUUACAUGUAUAUUUAUUGAAUAAACAUUAUAGACAGA
This is a long non-coding RNA of Ostrea edulis (European flat oyster), 1311 nucleotides long. RefSeq lists it as uncharacterized. NCBI's taxonomy places the organism in Eukaryota, Metazoa, Mollusca, Bivalvia, Ostreida, Ostreidae. The transcript is spliced from 3 exons. The record is from RefSeq and is a predicted model, not a curated record.